Electrophorus electricus (electric eel) is the source of this 1063-nucleotide non-coding RNA. Lineage: Eukaryota; Metazoa; Chordata; Actinopteri; Gymnotiformes; Gymnotidae. The record is from RefSeq and is a predicted model, not a curated record.
AAAAAAACCAACAACAACCCAGAGAUCAUUUAGAAAUCAUUUCAAUACGUGCAUAUUCAAAUACUUGGUUUAUACAAAACCUAUUAGAAACUUGUGUUGUCUUGGCUGUUUAUUGUUUAAAGUUCUAGGGUAAGUACAUCCUGUUACAAUGUCACUCUUGGUUUAUUCUCUGAUGUUCAGCAUGUGAAAGUAAACAGCAUUUAAAAUGAGUUGAGCCCGUAUCUUAGUGCUGUUGCUGAUGACAUACCUUUCAGCUGCCCUUUCACCGAGAAAAGCCUGGAGCUGGUGUAACUUCAUUAGGCUUCUGCUGUUUGAGGUGGGACUGGCUAUUGUUAACAAGCUAUGGAUAUGGCUCUGAAGUGCGUGCGUGUGUGCACGUGUGUGUGUGUUUGCGUGGGCUCAGAGAGACAGGGCCAGCCUUUUGUUUUAUUGUCAUCACCAUUAAGCGGGAGAGCCAGCUGCAGCACAGCUGUGAUGGCUAAAGCACCAGCUACAGGAGCCCCCCCCAUUGGAAAUAACAGGGGAGCAACAGGCAGCAGACGGCAUCAUGGGACUGCCUCAAUAACCAUGCACAGAUCAGUGCUGGAUUUUUGCAUCUGUUCCACAUCUACUCCUGAAGGAUGGUGCAGUUUCAGUGGUGUGUUUGGGAAGAUUCAGGUUCACAACCGGGAGGUGCUCCACUUCAAGCAGGUUCACCGCGUUUCGAGCCGGGUGCCUGUGCCGACGAUGCUUGCUUUGAUCUCUCUGUCUCUCUCUGAGCUCAAAACACACAUCCACAACCUCAUCACCACAGCGAAACACUUGAAGUGGGGGUGGGGCACUGCUGUGUGACCUCUCACUUAUGCAAACAUUUCAGGACUACAUUACUGUGGAAAAAAUAGCAAAGCAGUGAAAUAAUCUGUUAUUUGUAACAAUAUUUCCAAAUAACUUUAAUCUGCUUUAAAUUUACAACUAAAACCUGCUGCAAUUUUUUUAUUAUGCACUGUGUAAUAUAUUAUUUAAUUUUUGCAUCUUUUUUUUAAUGUAUCUUUUAUUCAUGUUUAAUUUUAUUUCUUUAAUUUCA